Molecule: long non-coding RNA, 856 nt
Organism: Neltuma alba
Lineage: Eukaryota; Viridiplantae; Streptophyta; Magnoliopsida; Fabales; Fabaceae
Exons: 2
Source: RefSeq, a predicted model, not a curated record
UUAGGGUCGUAGCCUGUUGACCAGCAGCAUAAAAUGGCAGGUGACGUGGACCAUAAGCUAGAAAACGAACUGAUGCGCUUUUAAUUUUUUCAAUAGCAAGGAAACGAUAUAGGGAGCUUCAUGUCUCACAAGGUUCUCUUGCCUGCAAUCGUAAUAGAUGGUAAUGUCGGUAUUAUAGAGAUUUAAAGACACAAAAAUUGAAGCGAAGGCAGCUUCGAUAGCAAUGGCAUCUUAGAAAUGCUAAAAGCCAAGAAAGAUAAAGGUAAUGGAGAUAAGAGGGAAGAGACUGAAUACCUCUGCAGAACCUUCAUGACUGGUCCGGAAAAGAUAAGAGAGAGGACGGAAGAGACCCCCUUAGGAGCAAGUAAUAGCCAUUUACUCUGCCUGAUUUGACCAAACGACAAAGACAAGGACAAUUAUGCUACCAUUGGUGGAAGAUUCCAUGAUGCAAGCAAGACAAAUACCUUAUUGAUAAACCCCAGGAGCAUUAUGAAACCUGAGACUCGUGUCUUUCCCCCGCAAGUUGUAAGGGGCCACAUUUUCAAAGGGAAGAGGCAUGAAGGCAGUCUAUUCCUGCAGUGAAAAAAGACCGUAAGAGACAAGAGGGGACUAAUCAAAGGGAAAAGAAGACACUGAUAUGGGUCCUAUCCUAGGGACACUAGCUUCUAAAGAAAUUUCCUGUUAGAUGCACUUAGCACCUCUUAAUAUGGCCAAUCUUGAACCGGAAAACAUCGCAAGUCUCAUGUUUCCAAUUGCCAAAUUGGUUUAACAUGGUAAAAAGUUAUCUAUAAAUUAGUGGAUCGGCAAACUUACCAACACUAAUGGAUAGUCUCUCUGGGCUAGCGCUCCCUACAAA